CACAGCUUUUCACAUCUUCUUUUUCCUCAGCAUCCACCUGGACAGUGUAUUUAUCCUCUGGCACAGGAACCUUCAGAACAUUAAACUUCUUCUCAAAAUCAUCUACCAAGCCAGCCUUUGCCACAUUGGGCUUGUAGUAAGCCCAGUCGAUAGCAGGUAGUUUCUCAGGAAGAGUAGUCAACCUGGAGGUAAGCAUCUCAUUCCAGAUUUCAGAGAGUUGGCAAUGGCCUUCUGGUUUCGGGGUAUGAUCUCCCCAAAAGCUACCCAGUCAGUGGUUUUUAGAGCAAGGUUUUCACCCAGCUGUCUUAAGAUCCUUCACUGACCCCGGCGGCCCAUAGUCCACAGCAGCCAUCAUCUAACCUAUUUCUGCAUCAUUGUCUUAUGUGAGUGGACGCUGAAGUCAGAUGUCUGUUUACCCUAGUGGAAGACAGGACGUGUACUUUUACCAAAUUCUGUGUGGGUAAGGGAGGCUCCACACUGAGGAACUACCAGAUGUAGAGAUGAUGUUCAAAAGCUUUGAGCAGAUGUUACUUGCUGACCACUAUCAUCUGAGAAAACUAGUUGAGAAUCAGCCUUAUUGGGGCAUCAGAGUGUAAAAUAUAUAAAAUAUAAUGUAGACAUGUAAAAAUAAGGUUUGAGUGAUCCCUAAAACAUGUUCAAUAUGUGUUCCUACUCAUUUGAAGAAUGUUUCCAUAAAGAUUGAACAUCUGAGCCUGUUAUUUCUUCUUAUGCCAUUUAUAUAGCCUUGGUUAAUGAAUAUGAACAUUAGUUAUGUUAAAGUUGCUUAAAAUUCAGGAACAGCCCAUAUUCAUUUAAAAUACAGUCUAGAUAUAUUUAGGCCCUGCAUUUCUAACUUGGUUGUGGCAAGUGGAAUCUUGUCUAAAGCCUUGAAACUGCAAGUACUCCUAAUUAGCUGUUGCUAGUAAAAAGGAAUCAUGGACAGAUUGAGAAGGAGUUUUUUUGUUGAUGCAGGUGUGAGAAGGAGAUGAAAAUCAAACAAAGGAACUUUUAGGAGCAACUUAGAAUAUUUGAAGCUGAAAACAUCCAAGAGAGAAAACUAGGAAAGUGUCUUUGCAGGGUUGACUUUAGCCUCUUUGGAAAAAUCUGAAUUUAUAAACUGAGAUGUUAAAACUGGACUGUACCCAUUAUCUUAAAACAUUGUAUAUUUCCUAGCACAGGAGGUCACUGUGUUCAAGUUGGCAUCUUCAACUUUAGAGAUACAUAAAGUUUGGAUUCUUUGAUUUAUUGCAUCUCAUCCCUAAGUCAAUGACUCAGAUGGAUCCCUUAUUUUUUAAAAAAAGUUUAUAUAAGAUUUUAUUUUGAUAAUAUCCUUUCAUUUUCUGAUCAGAAGUGUCAGAACUUCUGAGUGGAUUGUCUCAUAUCAAAUCCAACCCCUUGAUUACAUCACCCUCUCCCACAUACCUACAUGCUAAAGGUUUCAACUGGGCAGAAGAAUCUUUUUAUUUUAUAGUUCCAUAUAGAUAGGUUCUUUUUAAUUCCUAAUGUUAUAUAGAUAGGUUAAUGACUAGAAUGCCCCAGCCUUUCUUUACCAACACACAUUUUCUCUCUUCCUCUAGUCAUUUGCUGAAAUGAGGCUAGGUGUAAAUGACGUGAGAUGCCCUUCUCUGCUUCCAGAAAAAAAAAAAAAAAAAGAACUCAUGUUAGCCCUUAAUGUUUUUCCAUAUAUUGAAUCCUCAACACCUUUAAGUCAAACCUGUUGCUGCAGCAGCUCCUCUUUGCUGCUGUAGAUGCCAUGGCUGGCGUGCACAGCGCCACCCUAUGCAGAGGUACGGAGUGGUUGGGGUGACUUGGUCCAUGUCCUCUUUUCCAAUUUUCUGUGUUUUUCUGUGUUCUGUUCUGUGGGGGUUAGAAUGCCAAAAAGGGUGAGGGUUCUGAGUGCAAGUCAAAUUCUGCCAACUAGAUGCACUUGAGAUUUGAAAGGGGAUGUGAGUCAGGGCCAUCAUCCUGGUGCUAGCUUUUGCAACUGGCAGACACAGUUGCACACAUUUCGGACUGUCCUACAGCAGCACUCCAAUGUCCAGUCCCUAGACAUGUGGGGUCAGAGAGGCAUUGCAGUAGUGACAUCCAGGACUUCUAAUUCCUGGGUCACCACUGCAUUAGCAUAUGGUACUGAACAGGAUCCAGAUAGAGACUUGUAAUUCCCCACCCUCCUCAUUGUGGCUGAGGUGAUGGCCACCUCCUGCCAUAGACCAGUUUGGCCAUCUUUUUCUUGACAUGGAUCCUGGAAGUUCAUUCUAGUGUCUACCCAUCCAACCCUUCCAAUGUCCUCACUUAAAUACCUAUCCACUUAGAGUAGCUAGAGAAGUUUCCGUUUCCUACAAUGAACCCUGACUGUCAAGAUAUAUAUCUGUGGAUAGACCACUUAUGUCCUAUUUUAUUCCUAGAUUCUGCACUUCCUUUUCUUUAUAUAUCUGGAGCUACUUGACCCCACCCACACACCCCAAUCCCUACUGCAGGUGACUAAUAGGAGUUCCAGAAAGACAGAAAUAGGGUAGGAAUUAUUAAAGAGUCAAUGCAAGACUAUUUAGCAGAAUCGAAGAAUGUAUUACCAGACUAAAGAGACCCUGCAAUACCGAUUCCAAGUCAGAAUGAAAUUGCAGACUAUCAGGGAUAAUCAAAAAUCUUCCAAAGAAGAGGGGGGGAAAAUGUGACAAAGGAAAAAACAAAUGGUACCAAGCUUUCCAGCAGAAUGCUGGAAAAUAGUGAAGCAAUCUGAUCCAAAUUUUGAGGGUAAAAUUUUUUCAUUUGGAAUUCAGUACAGCCUACCAUACCAAUCAAGUGUGAACACAGAAUAUACACAAUCAAUUAUGAUAAUAAAAAUAUUUUCAGACAGCAAAGCCUAGGAAAAAGCCUUUACUCCCAUAUACUGCAUCUUAGGGAAUUGCUGGUGGAUGUGCUUUAGCAAAAGAAGGCAUAAACCAAAACAAACCAACAAACAAGAAUAUAAAGUGUUGCAGAAGGAGAGGAGGGUGGAGGGAUGGGGCAAUUGCAUUGAUGGGCACUAAGGAGGGCACUUAAUGAGAUGAACACUGGGUGUUAUACUAUAGGUUGGCAAACUGAAUUUAAAUAAAAUAUUAAAAAAAAAAAAAAGAAUAUGUGGGAUCCAGGAAGCAAGAGAUUCAACACAAGGGGUUUGUUCAGUAAAAGAAGAUGCCAGGGCACAGCUGAGCAACAGCCCAGAGAACAACCAGUUCAGACAAGACAGGUGGGAGGUGUAUGGAAGGGAGAGAAGGGAGAGAGAAAUGGAAACAGUGUAUUAUUUAAUGUGCUUGAGCAUUAAAAAAUUAUUGAUAAGCACCUGAGAAACAUUGGAGAAUUUAGAAAACAUCAACAGGAACAUAGAAAACUGAAAAAAAAAAAAGAGACAAUUCUUAAAUUAUUAACUCUAGGAAUCGUAAAACUACAGGAAAGGACAUGUACCUCUAGUACAUUGCAUGGCUCAGAGGGUAACUCAGAACAUAUGCAAUUAUUACAUGACCAUAAAAGUUUUAAAAUGUUAUUUAUUUGAAUUUUUUUUCAGUCAUGACUUAGCUGUAUGAAGAGAAGGAGGUAGGCCGAGGAUGGUAGUGUCAGAGAGCUGAAUCUAACACUCCAUAUUAACAAGAAGUUAGGAGGUAAUUGCUAAAAUCGAUCAAUCCAGGGAAAACAAUGUGUGCAUGUCGUGUAGAAAUAGGGAGGUAAGUACCAGAGGAAUCAAGUGGAAGAACUGAGAGUGGUUGCCCCUGGAGGUGAACUGGCUGGGCAGAAGCUGCUGUUUUUCAUUAGAAGCUAUAUUUCUUAAGAUAAUUGAAUGUAUUGGUUUUUAUUUUAAGAAUUUAGACAGUUUUCUUGGGGAAAUUUAGAAACAAAGUAUAAAGAAGAAAACAAAAAUAAUCAAUGAAGCCUCUAUACUUGCUUAACCUUUUGGUGACUUGUCCUUCAAUAGUCUCAGUAUGUAUAGAUGUUUUUUAUAUAGGUAUUAUCCUAAUAAUUUCAUAGCCAAAACUAUUUUAAUCUUCACUUUCUUUUCUUUUCUUUUUUUUUUUUUUUGAUUAAAGAUUUUAUUUAUUUAUUCAUGAGAGAUAAAGAGAGAGAGAGAGGGAGAGGCAGAGACACAGGCAGAGGGAGAAGUAGGCUCCAUGCAAGGAGCCUGACAUGGGACUCAAUCCCGGGUCUCCAGGAUCAGGCCCUGGGCCAAAGGUGGCACUAAACUGCUGAGCCACCUGAGCUGCCCUAAUCUUCACUUUCUUAAUCACAAGUGAUGUUAAACCCUUCUUCCUAUGUUUAUCAGCCGUUUGCAUUUCCUCUAUUAGUUGCUUUUACUUGUCUCUGCCCCAUUGUCUUUUGGAUAUUGAUCUUCCUAUUAUCAACUUGUAUGAGAUUUUGCUUUUCAAUUCUGCUUGUUUAUGCUGCCAUGUUUAUUUUUAUGGGGUCACUUUUUUUUAAAUAUCUUGACCUCUGUGACCUCAACUUAUUAAUAUCCCUUAAUUAAUUCCUUUCGUGGUUCUUGCCCAUGAUGAUGUCCUAAGUUCUGUGUCCCUCCUGGUCUGGCCCUUGACAUCUGUUCAGGCCUCUCUUCCACAGACCCCUUCCAUUACAGUCAAGACCUGCCAUCCAAAGCCAAGCCCCUCAAACAGGAUUUCCGUAUCUCCACACCUUGACAGACACGCAUGCUUUCUGCCUGAAAUGCCUUUUCUUUACUGUCUGCCCAGAAAAUACCUUUUGAGCUAUAUCGUACCUUCUUGACCAUCUUUUCUGCAUUAUUUCCACAUUCAACUGUUACUAACAUACUAACUUGUUUUGGAAUUCAUUGUCAAUUCUGUCUCCUCUGUUAGUCUGUGGGCUUCCUUUGUCUAUGUCUGUUCAGCUUUGUAUCCCCAGUUGCAGCACAAUGCUGGGUAUUUCGUAAACACUCCAUGGAUGUUGCCUUAGUGUUGAAUACUUCCAUAUUUGUGGUAGGGGCCAUUCCACAGUGGCCCCAAGAUUCCCUCCUCCUCCAGUUCAGGUAGGACCUGUGAAUAUAAUGAAAUAGUCAUUCUCUUGAUUAGGUUACAUUAUAUGGCAAAGGUCAUGUUACCUUUGAAAGAUUAAACUGUAGCCAACUAGAGGAAGAGUCUCCCCCUGGUUGUGAAGAAGGCAGAUGCUAUUCUGUGAAGGUGCCAUAGGCUAGAACCCGAGGCAGCCUCUAGGGGCUGACAGCCAACAUGAAAACAAGGACCUUAGUACUACAACCACAAGGUUCUAAAUUCUGCCAACCACCUGAAGGAGGUUGGAGGAGGAUUCCAAGAUUCAGAUAAAAGAUGCCAGCCUCGGCCAACACCUGGAUUUCAGUCUCGUGAGACCCUAAGUGGAGGACCUAAGAGGUGCCCAGACUCCUAAUCCAAGGACGCUGCAGAUAAUAGGUCUGUGCUGCUUUAAGCCACUAAGUGUGUUGCAAUGUCUUCAGCAGUAGAAAACUGAUACAGCAUUCAAGCUGCUAUUAUAGGGCAUUGGGGCCUUGAAUCUCAGGAGCAAUGACUGGGUGUCCUUUAAGACCUUAUAGUUUGGAUAACUGGAUCCUUGUUUUGAUUAUUAAUUAAUUAAUUAAUUUUGAUUAUUAAUUAAUCCCUCUAAGACCUGCCCUGCCAAACUCCCACCACUAUCUCUUAAAAAGAAACAAAGUCCUACUAACGUAGGCAUUCUUCUCUGUGCUAACCCCCUAUUGAUCAACAACAAAGUUUAGUUACUGCUCUUGGAUUCCCUCUUACCGUGUUCUGUCCCCAUGCAAUGUCACUCCUGUUAUUUUGCAAUGAAUUUCCCUUCCCAAUGGAACCACAUAUGUGUGAGCUGCCACUUACUAUUUAUUGCAAUAAUUUUUAUAUGUUGCAUUAAGUCUGCUUGACUGAACCCUCGAUAACCCACAGCCUAGUCUUGUUCACAGUCCAGAAGUCCAGAAGGUAGAUCUGUAUCCUUCUCAGACUUCCCUCUAAUAAGUUACCAGGCCCAGUAUUCUAGAAUUGGGCCAGUUGGGUCCCUCAGGUGAGAUAAAAUUAUUAAUACAAGUCAUUUAAAAGAACAUUUAAAUAGAUAAUGCUAUUUGCUUUAAUUUAGAAAAUAUGAGAAGAAAGACAUUUUUUAAACUUUUAAUUGCUACAAAAAUGCCCCAAAUUCUUUUAAUUUAUUUAAUAAAUGAUUUAUUAAGUAAAACUGUACUUUUUUUUAAAACCACCUAAAAUAGUAAAAGAUUUGGAAUCUUGGGGCACCUGGGUGACCUAUUCUGUUAAACAUCUGCCUUUGGCUCAGGUCAGGAUCACAUAGUCCUGGGAUCAAGUCCUGCAUCAGGCUCUCCUGCUCCCCCUGCUUGUGCUCUCUCUCUCUCUGUCAAAUAAAUAAAAUCUUUUUAAAAAAUAAAAUAAAAAAUUUGGAAUAUCCUGAGAUUUCUAAUGUUGAUAAAAGACAGUAAAAAGUUCCACUUGAGUUGCAGGGGCAAGUGAUUUAAAAGGACAGGUGAUGGUUAAGGAAGAGCGAGUUGGGGCAGGUCAAACUACUGUGCUGCUUGAAGGAAGCCAGCAGGGCGGAGGAGGGCUGCCAACUGCCACAUUGGGAAGAAUUUAUCCCAGUAACAGACCGGUCUCAAAAUGUCUGAGACUAGGCCUGGUCUUCACAUCAUUUAUAAAAGGCUACAGCCUGAGCCUCAAGGCAGCUCCCCUCAUUUUCUGUAAAUGAACCAACAACUUCAGGCUAUGUAAGGCAGACCCCACUUACUUUUCAGAAACACUAAAUUCACUUGAAUUACCCAUAUUAUUUGUGUUUAAUUUUUUUAAGGCAAUCUAAAAAGAAUUUACUAGAAAUGGGACUCUAUAAGUACAGCCAGUGCCAAAAUAACAGAAUAAAGAUUCUUUACCAUGUUCAGAUGCUUUCCAAAAUGUAGAAUAAUUAAAAUGUAAGAGGCAAAAAUAGUUUCAGAAAAGAAUAAUGCUGACAUUUUCAGAUACUCUGCCAAAGCAAAGCUCCUCUUUUGGUGUGCAGCAGCCUGACUUAGAUGAUCACCAGUGGGGGAAUGAGCCACUGCUGACUCCCUGCCAAACCCCUCCACCCCCACGUGCCAUCCCCACUGUAGGCGAUCAAGUAGGCCUUGUUAUCACACUAGGGUCAAGUCACUAAAAAGAUGUUUAGGCGUGAAAUGUCAUAGCUAUUUCAGUAAUUGAAAUACAUGGUAUUUCCUUAUUUUCCCCUUCAAAAUGGGGAAACCGCACACUUCAAAAUGUGAGUACUAGAUACAUUUUUCAGGACACCCUCAGAACCAGUUCAAGACCUACAUAUCAUGAUUUAAUUUAAGCCCUCUCAGAAAAUGUGCCUUUCUCCAAACUUUUCCAGCCUACUCUAUGUAAUAUUCCUCACAUUAGAGUCACUUCCAAAAGGCCCUCUAGAUGCACACUUGCACAAAGAUAUUAAGGUGCAUGUUAGCAUGUGUAUAACUUGUUAGAAUGUGUUACUUUUGAUAUAUGCAUUGCCACUGGGCAUUAAGCAAUUGCUAUGGAAAGAGACCAGACGUCAACUUUAUUAUUGUUGCUGAAGCUUUUAUUAUGGAAAUUCUAAAAAAUGCACAAAGGUAGAAAUAAAAUGUAAUGUGUCCUCCAUGUAUGUACCCACCACCGAGGUUUAACAAUUAUCAACAUUUAUCAAUAGUUACUAAUUUUGUUGUUUCCUUUUGUGUAAAAAAAUUGUGUUUCCUUUUUCUCUCCUCUUAGAUAUUUUUAUGGCAAACAAGUCCUGACUGGAUGUGUAAUAUCUUAUAGAGAGGAGUUAAGCAAGUUUCAGAGAAGAGUUCCCUGGCUGGGCAGCCUGUCCAGGUGGCAGUGGGUGACACUAGCAGAGGUUGUCAGCAAGUAGGAGGUACUAGCACAGGCCUGGGGUACUGAAAGGGCAAUGAGUUUUUUUGUUUUUUUAAAUGUAUAUUUUCUGAAAAAGAACGAACUAAUGUUGACUGCAAAAAAAAAAAUCUUGUUUUGUUUCAGCUUAAGUAUAGGAUAGGAAGAUUGUGCCUAUAUUUUCAUUUAUUUCAAAGUAUUUAUUUUACACUUAAAAUACUCAUAAUUACACUGAGUUUAAACACUUCUUGUAAGCAGGAUGGUAACCCCAUUUGUUCCCAGUUCAUUUUACAGCCAGUUUUUUUUUUUUUAAGAUUUAUUUAUUUAUUUAUUUUGGUUGGAGGGGAGGGAUAGAGGGAGAGGAAGCACAUUCCUCGUUGAGGGAGGAGCCAGACACUGGGCUGGAAAUUGUGACCUUCGUGACCUGAGCCAAAAUCAAGAGUUGGUGGCUUAACUGACUGAGCCACCCAGGCAUCCAUCUACAACGAAUUCUUAAAGACCAAAGAUAGUGAUUUCACAGAUUUUAGGAAAUAUAUUAAAAAGUUUCACCAUCUUUCACAUUCAGGAAAACUAUUAUUGUUGUUAUUAUUAAAAAUGCUAUAUAUCUUUGAUUAUAUUGAAUAUUUCCAUUUCUUUUCCUUUGGAAAAGUGGCAGCUCUUUAACAAACCUCUAUUUCCAAAUAUUCAAACAUAGUUUUUCAGAUAGUCCCUUGUCUAAGUGUAAAUGUAACCCAAGGGACUGGCUCUUCCUUGCACUAGCAUGUUUGGGAAUAGCCCUUGAGUUAUAUAUUCCUCACUGCAGAGGUGACCUCCCUGCCACUUGGCCACUCAGUGCCCAUCUGUGGCUCCUGGUCCUGCCCAUACCUCUGUCAUGCCCCCACCUUCUCUUGGUGGGAUGCUGAUGGUGCAGGUCUGGCAUGGUGGAGGGUGGUAGGGGAGGGCCAUACUUCCUGUACCUCUGUCCCUUCCACCCCCUGGUGCUCAUGUCAUUCUCUCUCUCAAGGUUGGAGGUGACUGAGAUUGUGUUUGGGGCAGCACAGAUAGAGGAUAACCACACACUAACAUGAUAAGGGCGGAGAGAGGAGAUUUGCUGAUUCUGCACCAGAGUGCACAGGAACAUAGAUGACUACACUUGAUAUCUGAUUCUUACUCCCUGGGCCAUCCCCAUCUCCAGCCAUUUCUCACUGGCUAUUUUUUUUUCUCUCUGAGUACCUCAUUCUUUCAUUUACUUUCCACAGUUGUUAUUGUUCUACUUAUAGGAUACUCUUUUAUUUUCCAUUUGAAACUUUUGUGGACUCUAUACAUAUACGCCAAAAAACUAAAGUUGCUUCCUAGUCAAAAGUGCCAACUAGUCCUGGUGGGCAGGCUUAGUAGUAAAACAUUUUACAGUAACAAUUUUUCUUUAAUAUGUCCUAUGUAAAAUUUGUAAAAAGAACUUACUCCCCAGCAGACCCUAUAAGCAGCAGGGAAGGGAUAGAAAAAUAUGUUCCUCUCCUCAUAGAGUCAGUCCCUAGGUGUUGAGAAUAUGGAAGGAUGGAUUUUUUUUUUCUUCCAGUUAGGUAAAAAUCAAAUGAAUGCCCCAUUUCUGCUCAGAUUCAUUCGAAAAAUCAAGUCUGAUUUUUCCUUCAUUUUAAAACUAGAAUCUAUCUACAGUUUCUUAAAUCCCAUAAUAGCAACCUCCUACUCAGAGACAAAAUGGAAACCUCUGUACACUGUUCUGUAAUCAAAGCAUCUUCACACAGUUGUACACAGGAAAAAAAUCCAAAAAACAAGGCAACAACAGGCAAACUAUAUAAAAUCAUAUAAAUAUUAUGUAAAAGCAUCUUAGUUGUAUUUGACAAUACAACUAAUUACCAAUAAAAAUUGCUAAACCA
This is a long non-coding RNA of Canis lupus familiaris (dog), 9724 nucleotides long. RefSeq lists it as uncharacterized. The record is from RefSeq and is a predicted model, not a curated record. The transcript has 2 exons. Lineage: Eukaryota; Metazoa; Chordata; Mammalia; Carnivora; Canidae.